RNAcentral lists this long non-coding RNA (194 nucleotides) under Monodelphis domestica (gray short-tailed opossum). RNAcentral describes it as "lncRNA (ENSMODG00000036886.1)". Lineage: Eukaryota; Metazoa; Chordata; Mammalia; Didelphimorphia; Didelphidae. The record is from RNAcentral.
UGAUUUACAAACGUUUUAAUUAGCCUAGAACUUUUCAGAAACCCAUUGAUUGUGGAGUGAGGUACAACAGGACAUAACCAUUUUUAAUCUUCCAUAACAAUGACAGCAAUUGCAGUGGUUUUCUCCCAAGAGGCCUCCCUUAAGAAUUACUGAACUUGGAAUCCAGAGACCAAGGUAAAUAUUAUUACCUCUAU